This 467-nucleotide ribosomal RNA is filed under the name uncultured bacterium. Its description in RNAcentral is "partial 16S ribosomal RNA". It matches the Rfam family "Bacterial small subunit ribosomal RNA", at positions 28 to 506 of the family's 1533-position model. The record is from RNAcentral.
GACGAACGCUGGCGGCGUGCUUAACACAUGCCAGUCGAACGGAAAGGCCCUGCUUUUGUGGGGUGCUCGAGUGGCGAACGGGUGAGUAACACGUGAGUAACCUGCCCUUGACUUUGGGAUAACUUCAGGAAACUGGGGCUAAUACCGGAUAGGAGCUCCUGCUGCAUGGUGGGGGUUGGAAAGUUUCGGCGGUUGGGGAUGGACUCGCGGCUUAUCAGCUUGUUGGUGGGGUAGUGGCUUACCAAGGCUUUGACGGGUAGCCGGCCUGAGAGGGUGACCGGCCCCAUUGGGACUGGGAUACGGCCCACACCCCUACGGGAGGAAGCAGUGGGGAAUAUUGCACAAGGGGCGGAAGCCUGAUGCAGCAACGCCGCGUGCGGGAUGACGGCCUUCGGGUUGUAAACCGCUUUCGCCUGUGACGAAGCGUGAGGGACGGUAAUGGGUAAAGAAGCACCGGCUAACUACGU